This 1838-nucleotide long non-coding RNA is filed under the name Helianthus annuus (common sunflower). Its description in RNAcentral is "hypothetical non coding rna". The record is from RNAcentral. Lineage: Eukaryota; Viridiplantae; Streptophyta; Magnoliopsida; Asterales; Asteraceae.
GUUUCAUCCAAAUUGAUUAAUAAUAUACAAGUUUCCCACUGCUAUCAAAAUCAUCCCGCCCAAUUUUUUCAAUCUUUCUCAAAAACCUAAAUCCCGCUAAUCCUCAAACCUAGUAACCUACAUUGAGCAUCUGCCCUCAAACAUAACGCACUUUGUCUGGCUAUCAAAAACACCCAACAAUAAGCAUCAUGACCUACAAAUUCAACAGUUCGAGAUAUUUGGCCAUGGAUUUGCUCUAGCGGUGGUGCUGCUCCAUCGAUAACAAUAUUAAUCAACAGCAAUCUUUGGUUAUUGCGGCAAGCUAAUUGUGAUGAAGAAUAUACAGGUGCUAUAAUAAAUUCAUCUUAUGGUGGCCAGGUUUGUUCGUGUAUGAUAAGUGUCACAUAUGUCUUUGGUUUCUGCCCAUAGUGAUGCGUGGCUAUUUUAUGUCGGAUUUUAAUUUGGCGCCAAAGUUGGUUCUUAACGCCAAACAAUCUUUGAGGAACGGCGCUGCGGGAACGAAGCGCUUGGAGCCUUGGGAACUUUAGCAAAACUAGGGCUUUCAAUUGGUGGUGGAACGCCGAACGCCUGAGUCUCAUGGAGGAAUGCAACGUUGGCCAUGGAAAAGAUGAAUCAACCAAGGGCUUUGGAAACCAACUAAGAUAAAACACUGGUUUGAUUAUAUAUAUAUAUGUUAAGGUUUUUGAUUUAUUUUAUAGUAAAUACGAUGCAGUUGUAUAUGUUUUAUAUGGCAUGCAUGUUUUCUCUAGUCUUUCAUGUAAGUUAGUUGAUUUUGCUAUUUGUGGGUUAGAAUUAGAAUCAGGACCGUAGCUACAUAGAAGGGUAUGGGUUCGGCCAAACCCGUACCAAAAAAUUUGUUAGUGUUAUAUAUAGGUGUAUUUUGACAUCGCACCUGUAGAAAUUUCGCCAUCAAACCCGUAGAAUUCUUUAAGUCUGGAAAAUUUCCAAACCCGUAGGAAAAUUUUUUUUGGCUACGCCCCUGAUUAGAAUCAAUGCUUAUUUCUUUUCAUUGUUCUAUUAAAUUUGUUCUUAAAUUUUCCAGUUUCUGUCACUAUUAAUAGCAUAAAUUUUUUGUAGGAAAGAAAGUAUUUUUCGUUGCUUGGGGUUUGGAUACUGCUUAAAAAUCAUAUGAAUUAGAGGUUAAAUCUAGAUGGUGACAAACCUUCUGCUACAAUGUAAAUGAAACUUAAAAUUUUACGUAUUAUGUAAUUGUAUAGAUUGCACAACUUUUUAUACCUUGGUUCCUUUUCUUGAAUUAGUGGUAAAUUUGUCGUUUUAGUUGCAUGAAUCUGGUUUUUGGUUUUACUGAUACCAUACCAACUCAAACUAAAUAUAUGUAUAUAAGUUUGGACGUUUUAGCGGAUUUUUUUUUUUUUUUGCAGGUAUGCAACAGCUAGUGGACGCUCGGAUGGUCUGUUUUACUAUGUGGUGGAAGAGUCGCCUCUGGCGCGAUAUGAAGUUAUGCUCUAAGAUAUCAACUACUUGCUCUAACUACCAAUAAGCGGUACUGAAAAAGCCACACAAUCUUUGGUUGAAUAGCUUAAACCAACGUUAAAAAAGGUUGAAUACAAUGAGUUGGUUGAUGUCGCACCAGUAAGUGCAGGAAGAAAUAUGAUGUGGGAAUAUGAUUGCUAAGAGAGAAUUAACAUGGGGAUCAUUACACAUGAAGAUUGCAAAAAAGGUUCAUGAAGGCAAUGAAGUCUUGAGUUUUUAUUAUAACAUUUGUUAGUUUUAUUCAAACACUAGAGUUAGUUUGCUACUUAUUAGACAUUAGUUUGUAAACGUUUGAAUGUUCGGAAGACGAUCUAACUUUUAUUUGAACUAAUGAUGUUAUGAUU